AGAGUUGAUCCUGGCUCAGGAUGAACGCUAGCGGCAGGCUUAACACAUGCAAGUCGAGGGGCAGCAUAAUGGAUAGCAAUAUCUAUGGUGGCGACCGGCGCACGGGUGCGUAACGCGUAUGCAACCUACCUUUAACAGGGGGAUAACACUGAGAAAUUGGUACUAAUACCCCAUAAUAUCAUAGAAGGCAUCUUUUAUGGUUGAAAAUUCCGAUGGUUAGAGAUGGGCAUGCGUUGUAUUAGCUAGUUGGUGGGGUAACGGCUCACCAAGGCGACGAUACAUAGGGGGACUGAGAGGUUAACCCCCCACCACUGGUACUGAGACACGGACCAGACUCCUACGGGAGGCAGCA
RNAcentral lists this ribosomal RNA (352 nucleotides) under uncultured bacterium. Its description in RNAcentral is "bacterial SSU rRNA". It matches the Rfam family "Bacterial small subunit ribosomal RNA", at positions 8 to 353 of the family's 1533-position model. The record is from RNAcentral.